CCUCUGUUGUGCCUUUAGAACUGCCGUUCACAGCAAUGAUUGUUAGAAAUAUGCAGUGAGGACCAGUCCAGUGAACUAUGAGAGAGAAAGAGACAGAGAAAACCAUCAUCCGCAUGCAGAGAGAAUCAGCACCUAAUACAGGCGCAUACAUGCACGCUUACACACACACUCGCACAUGCAUAUACACUCAGUGAGACAGCAAGCACAGCAGACUUACGACAUCUCCUUGCCUUAACAAGCACAGCAGCUCUUUUUAUUCUACCAUGGCUGAGCUCAGUAUAGAGUAACUGGAUCUUGCUUUCUCCACAGGGAUCUGCCCACAGCUGUGGCUAAUUAUUGGAUUUUUGAGGAACAUUAAGAAAUCAGAUGUUCAUGCCUUGCAGAGUAGCUUGGCUGUUUCAUUCCAAAUUUCGUUCUCUGUUUUCUGUCAUUUGACUGAGUUAUUCUGUUUGGAUAUAUAUCUGUUGGAUUGCAUUUUACUGCAGAAAGAGACUUCAGACUGACUCUUGAAACAAUGAGGAAUUAGGGGAAAAAAACUGCAGUGUUUUCUCACAGGUCUUGUUGGAGAUGUGAUCAUCAGAACUCUGCCAGGAAGUUUUAAUUUGACACAAACUGGUCGUCUUCUUGGCUUUGACUUUAACAAGAGAGAGAUUCACAUACAAGGGCAAAUUCUAGUCGUGAAGGAUUUAUUUUUGUUAUAAAAAUGAUGGAUCUUAAAGUGGAAACUGAAGAAGAGGAGAGUACAAAACCUGUCAGCGUCCAAGCUUUUGCUAACAACUCUACCCUGCAUGGCAUUUCCCACAUCUUCACUCAUGAGGGGUUCACUUUCAGACGUGUAUGCUGGUGUAUCCUGUUUAUGGGUUCUCUAGCUUUUUUAAUCCUCGUGUGUACAGAGAGGAUUCAGUACUACUUUGAGUACCCACAUGUCACUAAACUGGAUGAGGUGAAUGCCCACCUUAUGAGAUUCCCUGCUGUUACGUUCUGUAAUCUUAAUGAGUUCAGAUUCAGCAAGGUGACGAGGAAUGACUUGUAUCAUGCAGGGGAGUUUCUGUCACUGCUCAACAACAGUUCCCAUCCUCAUUUGCUGCCAACUGAGUUGAUACCCCAUCGUGAGACAGGCCCUUCUUUGCUGAUGUUGAAGUCUCAGUUGCAGGUGCCUGCAGUCGUGCAGG
This is a long non-coding RNA of Protopterus annectens (West African lungfish), 1172 nucleotides long. RefSeq lists it as uncharacterized. Lineage: Eukaryota; Metazoa; Chordata; Ceratodontiformes; Protopteridae. The transcript has 3 exons. The record is from RefSeq and is a predicted model, not a curated record.